UAGGGGAUGAGCUGUGGAUAGGGGUGAAAGGCUAAACAAACUUGGAAAUAGCUGGUUCUCUCCGAAAACUAUUUAGGUAGUGCCUCAAGUAUUACCUGCGGGGGUAGAGCACUGUUUAGGCUAGGGGGUCAUGGCGACUUACCAAACCUAUGCAAACUCCGAAUACCGCAGAGUACAGCUUGGGAGACAGAGCACCGGGUGCUAACGUCCGGACUCAAGAGGGAAACAACCCAGACCGCCAGCUAAGGUCCCUAAAAUUGGCUAAGUGGGAAACGAAGUGGGAAGGCUAAAACAGUCAGGAUGUUGGCUUAGAAGCAGCCAUCAUUUAAAGAAAGCGUAAUAGCUCACUGAUCGAGUCGUCCUGCGCGGAAGAUGUAACGGGGCUAAGCCAGUUACCGAAGCUGCGGAUGUGCAAUUUAUUGCACGUGGUAGGAGAGCGUUCUGUAAGCCUGUGAAGGUGUCUGGUAACGGAUGCUGGAGGUAUCAGAAGUGCGAAUGCUGACAUGAGUAGCGUUAAAGGGGGUGAAAAGCCCCCUCGCCGUAAGCGCAAGGUUUUCUACGCAACGUUCAUCGGCGUAGAGUGAGUCGGCCCCUAAGGCGAGGCAGAGAUGCGUAGCUGAUGGGAAACAGGUCAAUAUUCCUGUACCGAUCAAUAGUGCGAUGUGGGGACGGAGAAGGUUAGCUCAGCCAACUGUUGGAUAUGUUGGUUCAAGCCUGUAGUCGUGCCUGGUAGGCAAAUCCGCCGGGCUUAGAUGAGGGGUGAUAACGAGUCUGCUUGCAGACGAAGUGAGUGAUACCCUGCUUCCAGGAAAAGCCACUAAGCUUCAGCUAUACACGACCGUACCGCAAACCGACACUGGUGCGCGAGAUGAGUAUUCUAAGGCGCUUGAGAGAACUCAGGAGAAGGAACUCGGCAAAUUGAUACCGUAACUUCGGGAGAAGGUAUGCCCCAAGUAGGUGAACUCGUACAGAGGGAGCCCAAAGGGGUUGCAAAAAAUCGGUGGCUGCGACUGUUUAAUAAAAACACAGCACUCUGCAAACACGAAAGUGGACGUAUAGGGUGUGACGCCUGCCCGGUGCUGGAAGAUUAAAUGAUGGGGUGCAAGCUCUUGAUUGAAGUCCCAGUAAACGGCGGCCGUAACUAUAACGGUCCUAAGGUAGCGAAAUUCCUUGUCGGGUAAGUUCCGACCUGCACGAAUGGCGUAACGAUGGCCACACUGUCUCCUCCUGAGACUCAGCGAAGUUGAAAUGUUUGUGAUGAUGCAAUCUCCCCGCGGAAAGACG
Molecule: ribosomal RNA, 1284 nt
Filed under: wastewater metagenome
Description: bacterial LSU rRNA
Rfam family: Bacterial large subunit ribosomal RNA
Source: RNAcentral